Molecule: long non-coding RNA, 295 nt
Organism: Sinocyclocheilus rhinocerous
Lineage: Eukaryota; Metazoa; Chordata; Actinopteri; Cypriniformes; Cyprinidae
Exons: 4
Source: RefSeq, a predicted model, not a curated record
CAGAAAUGAUACCAAUGUGAGCACUGACAGAGCCAGUGACACAGGAAAUGGUGCCAGUUCAUCUUCAGAGGCUGCAGAGAAUGAUGUGACUUACACUUCUGUGACAGUACGACCUAAAACUAAAGCAAGCAGUCCGGUAUCUGUGGAGGACGAGGUGACCUACAGCUCUCUGCACACACAGGUGAAAGCCACUAAACACCAGAGCAAAAUAUGAACCCACCGGCACUGAAGCUGAAACAAGUUGAUAUACACUUUUUUUUGGCAUACUUUUCAUGCCAGUUAUAAUUACAAAUAC